GAAGAGCCCAUUGACUACUAGACAAGUAAUAAUCACCUUUGCAGGAUCAACUGAAAUUAUAGUCGCGGUUGUCGAUGAUGCACCGAUUUAUGCAACUGGCGAUGAGGGAGGAAGGAGGAGUCAGGCUACUACUAUAGUGGACUCGGAGGAGAAAAACCAAAGAGGGGCGAGCGAGGGAACAGAUUGAUAAAGCAUGUUGUGGAUGAAAUCAUGCAAGGACCUGAAAAAGUAUACGAUGAAAAGAGAAGAAAUACGAGACAACAGAGUGCCAAGAUAGAACGUAUUGUUACAGUAAAAAAAUAUCCUUGAUGGCCAUUGGAUCUAGAUCCUUCUCCUGCAUCUCUACUUUUCUCCAUCCAUUUGGUGAUGCAACUACAGAAGACCAAACCUCCACAAACCGGACUAAGCUUAAAGCUUUCAAAAGGUCGCAUGAGCCACCCAAACCAACAAAUGACAGACUAAGAUCAUCGAAUACACUACGGUGCCAUCCAAACUCUAGUUUUUAUUUUAUACGAAUUUGCUAUUUGCUAGCAUAUUUUUGUGUGUGUGCUUUAUUGUUCGAUGUGUGCAUUCUAUGUAUGCAAAGUCCGUGUGUGUGCUCAUUGUGUUUGUAUUUUCUUGAUGCUUCAUUUUGAGUCAAUAAAAUCCAUCCAUUGUCGAAAAAGAACUGCCAACCUUGAGCCUAAUGAGUAAACACAUCAUACUGAUUGUCGCUUGAGUUAGCAAAAAAGGUAAUACUAAUUAGCUGGCCCACCCAUCGGGCUGAGUUGGCA
This 773-nucleotide long non-coding RNA is filed under the name Hordeum vulgare. RNAcentral describes it as "long non-coding RNA (HVUL_LNC017307)". The record is from RNAcentral. Lineage: Eukaryota; Viridiplantae; Streptophyta; Magnoliopsida; Poales; Poaceae.